This 253-nucleotide ribosomal RNA is filed under the name uncultured bacterium. Its description in RNAcentral is "partial 16S ribosomal RNA". It matches the Rfam family "Bacterial small subunit ribosomal RNA", at positions 524 to 776 of the family's 1533-position model. The record is from RNAcentral.
UACGGAGGGGGCUAGCGUUGUUCGGAAUUACUGGGCGUAAAGCGCGCGUAGGCGGACCUGCAAGUCGGGGGUGAAAGCCCGAGGCUCAACCUCGGAACUGCCUUCGAUACUGCGGGUCUCGAGUCCGGGAGAGGUGAGUGGAAUUCCUAGUGUAGAGGUGAAAUUCGUAGAUAUUAGGAAGAACACCAGUGGCGAAGGCGGCUCACUGGCCCGGUACUGACGCUGAGACGCGAAAGCCAGGGGAGCGAACCGG